This 339-nucleotide ribosomal RNA is filed under the name uncultured bacterium. RNAcentral describes it as "bacterial SSU rRNA". It matches the Rfam family "Bacterial small subunit ribosomal RNA", at positions 125 to 497 of the family's 1533-position model. The record is from RNAcentral.
UCUUCCCUUUGGUGAGGAAUAACACGAGGAAACUUGUGCUAAUACCUCAUAAGUCUUUACGGAGAAAGCUUUAUGCGCCGAAGGAUGAGCCUGCACUUGAUUAGUUUGUUGGUGGGGUAAUGGCCUACCAAGACUUUGAUCUAUAGCUGAUCUGAGAGGAUGAUCAGCCACAUUGGGACUGAGACACGGCCCAAACUCCUACGGGAGGCAGCAGUAGGGAAUAUUGCACAAUGGAGGAAACUCUGAUGCAGCGAUGCCGCGUGAGUGAAGAAGGCCCUUGGGUUGUAAAGCUCUUUCGUCGGGGAAGAAAAUGACUGUACCCGAAUAAGAAGGUCCGGC